This 2120-nucleotide long non-coding RNA is filed under the name Salmo salar (Atlantic salmon). RNAcentral's name for it is "lncRNA (ENSSSAG00000117171.1)". The record is from RNAcentral. Lineage: Eukaryota; Metazoa; Chordata; Actinopteri; Salmoniformes; Salmonidae.
ACAUUUUUUGGACCUGGCAUCAUACCAAUAUUUAGCAGGCUGAUGGGGACAAAUACCAAUACACCCUAAUGUCUAUUGGUGUAAUGUGUGGGAGGAGUAGCCGACCAGGAGGAUGAAGAUAAUGAUUACAGUAUAUUAUGAAGGGGCUGAAAUCGGAGGACAUAACGUUUCAGAAUGUUCAGAUAGAAGUGCAACAUGUAGAACAGAUAUGAUUGACACGCACGACUCAGCCCGUACUCUACACAGACUGGUGAGGCAUAACCAAUCAGAGCUGCAGUAGGCCUAUAUGCAAAUAGACCAUUGCCAUAUAUGGAUUUGUGCCAUUUACUUUGAUCUGGACUGUGUUUACAGCUGUGGUCGUGAGUAGAUGUGCUUGUUUAGAGAUCACAGUGAGAGCUGCAUGUAGCCACAUGUGCACAUUUUGUUCAUAUCCUUUGCCAGUUAGUGAGUUAUUAGCCAAGUUAUAGAUCAUUUGUAGUCAGCAAUAGGGGAGGGAUUGCUUCCUACAAGAGCACAAAACGUUUACAUUUCUUUUCAUCUUUGAAAAGCAAGUCAAGUCGCUGAGGUACUGUUCCAGCAGGUCUUCCGGAACUAUGGCCUUCCGGAGGACAUCGUCUCUGACCGUGGUGCCCAAUUCACAUCACGGGUAUGGAAAGCCUUCAUGGAGAAGCUGGGGGUCACGGUCAGCCUCACUUCCGGGUACCGGCCUCAGUCUGACGGGCAGGUGGAGAGGAUGAACCAGGAGCUGGGGAGGUUCCUGAAGAGUCACUGCUAGGAGAGGCAGGGGGAGCGGGCACGAUUCCUUCCCUGGGCGGAGUACGCCCAGAAUUCAUUGCGUCACUCCUCCACCGGGCUGACUCCCUUCCAGUGUGUUCUGGGUUAUCAGCCAGCCAUGGCUAAAUAGACCCCGAGCCAGACCGAAGCUCCUGCGGUUGACGAGUGGUUCAGGCACGCAGAAAAUGUUUGGAACGAUGCCCAAGUGAGGCUCCAGCGCAUCGUCCGCCGCCAGAAGGAGCAGGUGGAUCGCCACCGUAGUGAGGCUCCCGUGUUCCAUCCUGGUGAUCGCGUCUGGCUCUCCACCAGGAACCUCCCACUCCGCCUGUCCUGUAUGAAGCUGAGCCCCCGGUUUAUGGGGCCGUUCAAGGUCCUCCAGAGGGUCAACAAGGUGACAUAUAGAUUACAGCUCCCCACCAACUACCGGAUCUUACCCUUUUUUCAUGUUUCCCUCCUCAGGCCGGUGGUUCCUGGACCCCUGGCUGAUGCCAUCCCCACGACACCCCUCCGGAGGCCUCCCCUGGACAUCGAGGGAAGCCCCGCCUAUGCCGUCAGAUCCCUCUUGGAUGUUGUGGGGGUCGGCUUUGUGGGGGUCGUCAAUCUUCAGCUGGAGCUGGGCGUCAAUGGGGGGGGUAUCGUCACGUCUACUCCCGCUUUGGCGCUUGAUGUCGCCGGUUUACUAACCACCGGUCCUGGUAACCGAUCAUUAUGCACACCUGUGCCCCAUCAUUAGUCUCACCUGGACUUCAUCACUACCCUGAUUACUUACCCUUUAUCUAGCCCACUGUAGCAUUACUCAUCAGGCAGUAUUGGUUUUGGUUACAUUCAGUACGCUUCUCCUGUUUUGUAUAUUAUUCAUGUUUAUUAUUAUUAAACUCACCUUCUGCACUUGUUUCCUGACUCCCUGCGUAUACAUUACAGUUAUGAUCAAAUAGCUACAGUAACCUACUUGGCUGUAACUUAAAGCAGAUACAGCCUCAGUGUUCACAGUAAACGUGCACUGGAAGUUACUGAAUAUUCAAUUUUGUGCUCAGCAGAGCUGAAAUUUGCUCAGUGCCGGAAAAAAUUUGAGGGAACAUUGGUGGCCACGCAUGACGCCAACUCCAUCAAGUUUGCUGACAACACAACAAUGGUAGGCCUGGUCACCAACGGCAAUGAGACAGCCUACAGGAAGAAGGUCAGAGAACUGGCAGUGUAGUUCCAGGACACCAGAGGGUUGGAGAGGGUCAAGAGCUGAAAGUUCCUCGGUAUCCACAUCACUGAGGACUUAACAUGGUCCUCUCACACCAGAACAGUCGUGAAGAAGGCACGGCAAUGCCUCUUUUCCCUCAGGAGGCUGAAACAAU